This is a non-coding RNA of Vigna umbellata (rice bean), 4174 nucleotides long. The record is from RefSeq and is a predicted model, not a curated record. NCBI's taxonomy places the organism in Eukaryota, Viridiplantae, Streptophyta, Magnoliopsida, Fabales, Fabaceae.
AAGCUUUACUAAUCCUUGAAAUGUUGUCUCUGGUUCUAUCAAAAAUAGAAAUCCGUUGGAAACUAUUGGUGGUGUUAACCAUUAGCACUCAUUUGUGUUUGUAUCUCAAAAAGUUUAUUUGCUGGAGGAUGAAAGAAGAACUUGGAAACAUGGAGAGAGCAAAUUUACACUGGAAUCAGGUAAUAAUGGAUCCUCCAUGAUGGAAAAGGAAAAUCAGAACAACAAAUAAAAACAGAAAGCAUUGCUGGAAGGACGGAGCAAGCUGCUAAUCCAUUUGCAAAUUUUCAUAUUUGUUAGGAAAUUUCUUAAAGAGGCCGUGUACUUUAUGCUGAAUAGAAGUUAUGAUAAGAACUUUGAGAGAACCAGACCACAAAAGCCAGCUACUAUAGUUGAAAAGAGAUCCCACUGUUCAAGGUGACCCCGCACUAAAAUUGCAAUUGGAUCCUAACAUCUUUCUAUGUUUAGCAGCCCCAACAAGUUAUGCGCGAACUUUUUGACCAGUCUUGGGUGAACGCCAACACCACUCUGCUCAAGUUGCUUAUUCGUUAUCGAGAGGCCAUGUGCUUAAUGUUUGAUAGAAAUUAUGAAAGGAAUCUGCAGAGAACAACACCACAUAAGCUAGUUGUUGUAGUUGAAGAGCCCAGGGCCUUAUAAACCCCACACUAAACAUGCAAUUGGAAUUUGGAUCUUGACAUUCCACUACGCUCUCUAGCCUUGGUGUCCAUGCGGGCUAGCUGUGCACUAACCCUUUGACUAGUGUUUGGUGGACACUGCAAUGCCAGUCACCCUGCCAACUUUGCCCAUUUUUUAGUUGAUGGAACUGGUAUCAAUAUGACGAGAAAGAACAUUUCUGUAUUGAAUAAAACCAGGGAGAAGUUCCCCAGGGAGUAAUGCACGAUUCUAGAUAUUUAAUGAGGUGUGGAUCCACUUCUUACUUCAGUUUCUUAAUCACCAAAAGUCCCAUCAAACCAUUUACAGUCAUCCUAUUUUAUAGGCAACUAUUUAUCUACAGUUUAUAACUGUAACCCAUCCUUAAUGGGCCUAAUUAGGUGCAUGCCCCAUUCACCUUUAUUCUAACAUAAACCUGCUUGAUCACAGGUCUGCUAUCUGUUGUAAAUACUUGAUUAGCAUUAAUUUAGGACAGAAUGUUUCCUGCGCAAAUUUCUCAAACUGAUAGCCUGUAAUUACUAGGACAUUAUAUGUCUAUUGUGAUUAGCCAAUAUUAGUAGAUUAAAUUAGUAUAGUAGUGCUUGUAUUUGAUAUCAAUGAUAAUAUUUGAAACUUCAUUCCUUUUCAACUUGGUACUAGAGGCCAUAGCCCACAUUUGUUGAUUCUGGGGUUUGUGGAAGGGGAUUUUUAUUGUUUUCAUAGUUUUCUUCAUGUAUCGUUUGGUCCAAUAGACAUGUGUGAAGGGGGGUGUUAAAAAUUUCCUCAUUGCGUACUUUAUAUACUUAUUGGGGAACUUCACUUAAUUAAUGUCAAUUGAUUUUAAGAUGAAACCUAAGAAUUAUCAAAUUAAGUGCCUAAUGUUGUCUUAAGUCAGAUGCUAAUCUAAAGAAACCUUGAAAAUUAUCAUUAUGGUCACAUCAAAUGCAGAAGUAGCACAUAUUGCAAAGUGCAUAUAUACUCUGCCUCUUUACUUCGGCUCCAACAACUAAAUCUAUUAACAAAAACAUUGGCACAGGUACUUUGCCGCUUUACAAAACAUACCUAGCGUUUGCCAGAAAAAUUAAGCAAUUGAUGUUAAUGAAUAAUGAUCCAAGCAUACCUAGCAUUUGCCAUAAAAGUAUGACGAAUCAUUCACUAAGAACAAUAAGCUAAAUUUUCAAAACAUUGAUUUAAUGUUAUAUUUCAUUUCUUUUAAUUUUCUUCUGUUGAAAUGGGAAAUUUUAUUAUUAUAGAUCAAACUACAGGGUGUGAUUUUGAAUGUUAUAUUGGGCUUGUUUAUCAUUACAAUAUGCUAGUUAUUGGAUGUGAUUCCACAAUAUGCCCAGUAUUUGCCAAAAAAGCAUAAAGAACAUAAGCUAAAAUUUCAAAACAUUCAUUUAAUGUUAUAUUUCAUUUGUUUUAAUUGUCUUCUGUUGAAGUGUGACAUGUUUUCUUAAUAUAGGUCAAACUACUGGAUGUGAUUUUUGAAUAUUCAUAUAUUAGCAUUGUUUAUCAAGCCUAGUGACUUACUCUUUAAACUGGUAAAUACAUAAAUUGAUUGAGGGUUUAUAAUGCAUUUUUCGCCACAAUUUCUCUCCUUAAUCUGUUCAUCGGUGCUGUUAAUACUUAAUCUAUUCUUCCAGAUGAGAAAUUCACCAUGUAAAACAAAUAACAUAUGUGAGAGAAACUUACAUCUCAGAAGCUCCAACAUGAUAAAUUGUGUUCAAUUUUGGCGAACAAAAGUCAGGACAAGACAUAUUUCGGAAUAUCAGUAGUCGUAUUUUCAAUAGCUACAGCAACAUUAUGUUUGGCAAAAUACUUGUCUAUUUUCAAUAGCUACAGCAACUUAUGCUGCAUGUUAUUGAAGUGGUAGAGCAGACCUGUAGAAAGGGACAUGAAGUUGGUUGGGAUCUUUAGGCACUGUCUCCCGGUUAACUGUUAUAUGUACUACGAUUCAAUUAAGCCCAUCAGAAUCACAAAUAAGGUUCAUCUUUUUAUCUUUUGUUCUUGUUGAUCCGUAUUUGUUGCUUUUUUUAAAACAAAAUUCGUUAAGAUUGAAGAGAUAGGUACAUUAUACAUAUGCUAUAGGGUAAAAAGAAUCCUUAAAUAUAUCAUGUAAAAAAGGAAGAAGUAUGAACAAGUAACAUGCAAUAUGUCGAAGGUCUAAUAAUAACCAUUAGCAGAAUUCCACAAAGAAGCUACGUGAACUACACAAUCCCGAAUGAAUUCAAGAGUCAAACAAUGACCAGUAAAGAUUCUCGCAUUUCUUUCUGACCCAAUUCACUAGAUAAUUGCGAAUUGAGAGCUGCACACGGGAACUACUUGGGCCAAAUCCUCUAAAAUUGACGUGUGGGCACUGCUGGAAUUGUGCAACUUGUUUUCAUGAUUCUCCUGUUUUCACCUGAACAGAAACAGUUGGCAUCUGUUGUACAGUGUGCCAUAAAAAAGGAUGGGUUCAGGAACCUUUUGCAUAGGUGCCUUUGUUCCAGUAGAAGUUCCCCUAAUUUUUUCUCUCUAGCAUCUUUGUGCUCUGGAGGACACUGGACUUGGUAUUUGCUAAAUAAACCAUGACUUCUGCAACAAGAAGGAUGGAUCUGUUGGACGAAAAACUGGAAUGAAUGGAAGCCUGAACUGAGAGCAGAAUUUUUUUCUAGCAUGGAGAACAGAUUGGGGCACGCGUAGGACAAAAUAGAAAGGUUGGAGGUCAACUGGACGAAGAGGCUUCAACAUGUAAUUAAGAAUGUAUUGGAACAAAAGGUCGAACAUGAGAAUUUCAACAAGAGGAAAUUCUACAAGAAUAAAUUAGAGUCAGAUUGCGAUCUGCAUGGCUUGGAUGAGUAUCUGACGGUAGUUAAGAAAGCAUUUCUGUGAACCUUAGACGGGGUAAAUACCCUGUGGGAUGGAACUUUGAUUUGCAGAAUACAAGUGCUGAUGUGAGGAUUUGCAGAAUAAAACCAUAACUGGGCAACAUUUAAAAGAGCCUCCGUUGCAAGCUUUGUUGGAACAAAGGUUGAAAAUCCAUAUGAAGAUGCCAUAGGAGCUUUUGAAUCUGUAUCCUAUCAAGUAAGAAAACUACUGAACGAGCAGUCGCUUGGUAUCCAUUAGUGUCUGUGGGCCUGAUUUAGAUCCUUGGCUUCUACGAAUUCUGAUGACGGUUAUUGAGGCAAUAGCAGUCUUUGCUCUGUAAAGAUCAAGGAGGCUGAUCGUCCCAGAGGUUUUUAUGGAGGGUUAAUAAGGAUGUAAAGCAAGUUUAGAAUACAUAAGGAGUUAAUCUUCAUGCGCAAUAUUAUGGGAAGAUUACUAUCAGGUCACCUCUCAAUCUCAAAUUUGUUUUUGCACUGUAAGCUCGAAUCUUAGGACCCAUUUUUUCAUCAUCUUGUCUGUAUUUUACACAAUGGUUCAAUGUAAUUGUUUCCUCAAUUUUAUUUUUUUUUGACUGAGCUUAUUUUUAGAAUGAGAUAUGACUAUACAAGAUUGUUUGCUAUGGAACAUUUACAUGAUAAUGGGUAACUCUGGAUUAGCAUGA